CCUACGGGGGGCUGCAGUAGGGAAUAUUGGGCAAUGGAGGCAACUCUGACCCAGCCAUGCCGCGUGCAGGAUGACGGCCCUCUGGGUUGUAAACUGCUUUUAUACGGGAAGAAAAAAUACUACGUGUAGUAUACUGACGGUACCGUAAGAAUAAGGAUCGGCUAACUCCGUGCCAGCAGCCGCGGUAAUACGGAGGAUCCAAGCGUUAUCCGGAUUUAAGGGGUUGUAGGGGUGCGUUUAAGGAUUUUUAGAAAGCCUGCAGCUUAACUGUAGAAUUGCCAUUGAAACUGAAAAUCUUGAAUUUGGUUAAAGUAGGCGGAAUGUAUCAUGUAGCGGUGAAAUGCUUAGAUAUGAUACAGAACACCGAUAGCGAAGGCAGCUUGCUGAACCAAUAUUGACGCUGAGGCACGAAAGCGUGGGGAGCGAACAGGAUUAGAUACCCGUGUAGUC
This 450-nucleotide ribosomal RNA is filed under the name uncultured bacterium. RNAcentral describes it as "partial 16S ribosomal RNA". It matches the Rfam family "Bacterial small subunit ribosomal RNA", at positions 338 to 795 of the family's 1533-position model. The record is from RNAcentral.